UACAGAGGUGGCAAGCGUUGUUCGGAAUUACUGGGCGUAAAGGGCGCGUAGGCGGCUUUCUAAGUCAGACGUGAAAUCCCCCGGCUUAACCUGGGAACUGCGUCUGAUACUGGGAGGCUUGAGUAUGGGAGAGGGAUGUAGAAUUCCAGGUGUAGCGGUGAAAUGCGUAGAUAUCUGGAGGAAUACCGGUGGCGAAGGCGGCAUCCUGGACCAUUACUGACGCUGAGGCGCGAAAGCCAGGGGAGCAAACGGG
Molecule: ribosomal RNA, 253 nt
Filed under: uncultured bacterium
Lineage: Bacteria
Description: partial 16S ribosomal RNA
Rfam family: Bacterial small subunit ribosomal RNA
Source: RNAcentral